AUUGAACGCUGGCGGCAGGCCUAACACAUGCAAGUCGAGCGGAUGAAGGGAGCUUGCUCCUGGAUUCAGCGGCGGACGGGGGAGUAAUGCCUAGGAAUCUGCCUGGUAUUGGGGGAUAACGUCCGGAAACGGGCGCUAAUACCGCAUACGUCCUGAGGGAGAAAGUGGGGGAGCUUCGGACCUCACGCUAUCAGAUGAGCCUAGGUCGGAUUAGCUAGUUGGUGGGGUAAAGGCCUACCAAGGCGACGAUCCGUAACUGGUCUGAGAGGAUGAUCAGUCACACUAGAACUGAGACACGGUCCAGACUCCUACGGGAGGCAGCAGUGGGGAAUAUUGGACAAUGGGCGAAAGCAUGAUCCAGUCAUGCCGCGUGUGUGAAGAAGGUCUUCGGAUUGUAAAGCCCUUUAAGUUGGGAGGAAGGGCAGUAAGUUAAUACCUUGCUGUUUUGACGUUACCAACAGAAUAAGCACCGGCUAACUUCGUG
Molecule: ribosomal RNA, 484 nt
Filed under: uncultured bacterium
Lineage: Bacteria
Description: partial 16S ribosomal RNA
Rfam family: Bacterial small subunit ribosomal RNA
Source: RNAcentral